GAUGAACGCUGGCGGCGUGCCUAAUACAUGCAAGUCGAGCGAACGGACGAGAAGCUUGCUUCUCUGAUGUUAGCGGCGGACGGGUGAGUAACACGUGGAUAACCUACCUAUAAGACUGGGAUAACUUCGGGAAACCGUAGCUAAUACCGGAUAAUAUUUUGAACCGCAUGGUUCAAAAGUGAAAGACGGUCUUGCUGUCACUUAUAGAUGGAUCCGCGCUGCAUUAGCUAGUUGGUAAGGUAACGGCUUACCAAGGCAACGAUGCAUAGCCGACCUGAGAGGGUGAUCGGCCACACUGGAACUGAGACACGGUCCAGACUCCUACGGGAGGCAGCGGUAGGGAAUCUUCCGCAAUGGGCGAAAGCCUGACGGAGCAACGCCGCGUGAGCGAUGAAGGUCUUCGGAUCGUAAAACUCUGUUAUUAGGGAAGAACAUAUGUGUAAGUAACUGUGCACAUCUUGACGGUACCUAAUCAGAAAGCCACGGCUAACUACGUG
RNAcentral lists this ribosomal RNA (497 nucleotides) under uncultured bacterium. RNAcentral's name for it is "partial 16S ribosomal RNA". It matches the Rfam family "Bacterial small subunit ribosomal RNA", at positions 28 to 507 of the family's 1533-position model. The record is from RNAcentral.